This 499-nucleotide small RNA is filed under the name uncultured Glomus. Its description in RNAcentral is "SSU rRNA". It matches the Rfam family "Eukaryotic small subunit ribosomal RNA", at positions 591 to 1092 of the family's 1831-position model. RNAcentral also lists the same sequence under 1 other name. The record is from RNAcentral. Lineage: Eukaryota; Fungi; Glomeromycota; Glomeromycetes; Glomerales; Glomeraceae.
CCAAUAGCGUAUAUUAAAGUUGUUGCAGUUAAAAAGCUCGUAGUUGAAUUUCGGGAUCAGUUGGUCGGUCGUGCCUCGGUACGUACUGGUCAAAUUGAUUCCUACCUUCUGACGAACCACGAUGUCAUUAAUUUGGUGUCGCGGGAAAUCAGGACUGUUACUUUGAAAAAAUUAGAGUGUUUAAAGCAGGCUCGCGCUUGAAUACAUUAGCAUGGAAUAAUGAAAUAGGACGUUUGAUUCUAUUUUGUUGGUUUCUAGGAUCGACGUAAUGAUUAAUAGGGAUAGUUGGGGGCAUUAGUAUUCAAUUGUCAGAGGUGAAAUUCUUGGAUUUAUUGAAGACUAACUACUGCGAAAGCAUUUGCCAAGGAUGUUUUCAUUAAUCAAGAACGAAAGUUAGGGGAUCGAAGACGAUCAGAUACCGUCGUAGUCUUAACCAUAAACUAUGCCGACUAGGGAUCGGAUGAUGUUAAUUUUUUAAUGACUCAUUCGGCGCCUUACG